Molecule: unclassified non-coding RNA, 253 nt
Filed under: Hevea brasiliensis (rubber tree)
Lineage: Eukaryota; Viridiplantae; Streptophyta; Magnoliopsida; Malpighiales; Euphorbiaceae
Source: RNAcentral
CAGCAAAUUCCUCCACAAACCACUAAAUUGUAAAGGUCCUUAUUACCUCACUAGUCACUACCAUGUUGGGCUCCUAAGAAAAGUAAAAUAAUAAUAAUAGAAAAACAAAUUACAAAGACCACUGUUUUGAGCACAGCUGAAUUGAAUCUAUAAAAUUAGGGUCCCGUUUCUUUUCCUCAGCUAUCCAGAAACCAAAAAUCAAGGAGCCCAAAAGAAGCAGAGGCAGAAACAACUAAAAGAGGAAAAUUUCAGA